AUCGCUUCUCGGCCUUUUGGCUAAGAUCAUGUGUGUAAAAAAUCAAAAAGAACUUUUUAAAAUUUCUUAUGUAUUUAUUUACUUAUUUACUUAUUACCUAGUAGAGGUCUGGAGUACCCUGAGGAGAGGACCUCACGUCCU
RNAcentral lists this small RNA (141 nucleotides) under Marmota monax (woodchuck). The record is from RNAcentral. Lineage: Eukaryota; Metazoa; Chordata; Mammalia; Rodentia; Sciuridae.